Molecule: long non-coding RNA, 1179 nt
Organism: Aphis gossypii (cotton aphid)
Lineage: Eukaryota; Metazoa; Arthropoda; Insecta; Hemiptera; Aphididae
Exons: 2
Source: RefSeq, a predicted model, not a curated record
CUAUUUUUCAUUUUUCAAAUGUAAAAACGAUUUAAAACUUCUAUAUUUUAUGCUUUUUAUAGCAAUUAUUUAUUAGUUUAUUACAUAUUUUUGGUUUGUAAAUGCACCAAAAUCCAAGCCUUAGUAAGCACUUGGAUAUUUGUUUUGUACUCGCGGCGUGAUUAUCUACUUAGAAAUGACCUAAAGGCUUAUAUACCUACCUAGUGUGUAUUGGUCAAGGAAGUCUUACACGUACACAUUAUUUAUGUAACGACUUCAGUCAACCGAAAUGGAACAAGAAAACUUCUGUUUUAAAACUGUGCCACGUUGACCACGCUUAUUAAUUCCACCAGACAAAUUUUAAUAACACUGUCAAAAAAAUAAUGGGUACACACGGGAUCACAUGGAAAUAUUGUGUGAAAUUAAUUACUUACUGUAAAUUAUGCGUACACUUACACGCUGUACCAGUCGUACUUUACCACCCGUAGGUACCCCCACAGAGAAAAGUAUUAUUUUUGUUUUCCAACAAACGAACAAUUACUUUUAAAAGUAAAAAAAAAUUAAACCUAUUACGCCCACACGUAGGUACUUUUUAUAUUUAUGUCCUAUGAUAUGUUAUGUUUAUUUAAUAUUUUAACGAGUGUCAACUGUCAAUUAAAAUAUUAUGAUACACUGAUAAGUGAUAACACAGUGCCUGAUACAUUAUAAAAAUAACAUAAUAUGGAUAAUAAAUGUCUAAUCUUACCUAUUGAGUACCUACCUAUAAUACCGCUAUAAUAUUUUGCACUAACCAUGUUUGCAGUGGCCAAAACAUAUUUUGUAUAGUUAGAUAACAGCUUUUAAAUUAUUUCUGUUCGACAGUUAAAUAUUUAAAAAAUUAUUGUAAUUGGCGUGUAUUUUUUCGUUCUUGUUUUGGUUCGCUUUAAUUCAUUUUUUUUUUUUUAAGUGAAUAAUAAGCAAUCAUUCUGCUGUGCAGUUAGGUGUCGAGUGUAACUCGACAUUGAAGAGCAACUCAUCGUAAUGUAUGCGUUAAAUUAUUUUAAUUCAUUGAUAAAUAAUUGUAUGGAUACAAAAUACCUACCGCAGAGUAGGUAAAAUCAUUUUUUUCCAAAAACAUCGCAUUCGAAGCUAUCGUUGUGUAUAUGUAAAAUAUAUAGUAAUAUACUUUGGUUAAAAGUUUCGAUUACAGGAAUCGGAGUA